AGUGAACGCUGGCGGUAGGCCUAACACAUGCAAGUCGAACGGCAGCACAGUAAGAGCUUGCUCUUACGGGUGGCGAGUGGCGGACGGGUGAGGAAUACAUCGGAAUCUACUUUUUCGUGGGGGAUAACGUAGGGAAACUUACGCUAAUACCGCAUACGACCUACGGGUGAAAGCGGGGGAUCUUCGGACCUUGCGCGAUUGAAUGAGCCGAUGUCGGAUUAGCUAGUUGGCGGGGUAAAGGCCCACCAAGGCGACGAUCCGUAGCUGGUCUGAGAGGAUGAUCAGCCACACUGGAACUGAGACACGGUCCAGACUCCUAAGGGAGGCAGCAGUGGGGAAUAUUGGACAAUGGGCGCAAGCCUGAUCCAGCCAUACCGCGUGGGUGAAGAAGGCCUUCGGGUUGUAAAGCCCUUUUGUUGGGAAAGAAAAGCAGCAGGUUAAUACCCCGCUGUUCUGACGGUACCCAAAGAAUAAGCACCGGCUAACUUCGUG
This 492-nucleotide ribosomal RNA is filed under the name uncultured bacterium. RNAcentral's name for it is "partial 16S ribosomal RNA". It matches the Rfam family "Bacterial small subunit ribosomal RNA", at positions 29 to 507 of the family's 1533-position model. The record is from RNAcentral.